UGCCAUGAUGUUCGUAAUUUGCGACUGACGCUACAACAGUGGCAGUGCCUGCUGUCAGUGAGCUGUUGUUAGCUUUGUGUUGAUAAAAAUAAUCCUGAGCC
This is a small nucleolar RNA of Ciona intestinalis (vase tunicate), 101 nucleotides long. Its record names the gene SNORD16. It matches the Rfam family "Small nucleolar RNA SNORD16". Rfam says of the family: U16 is a member of the C/D class of snoRNA which contain the C (UGAUGA) and D (CUGA) box motifs. U81 acts as a guanine methylation guide and is found in an intron of ribosomal proteins L1 gene in animals. This snoRNA was independently named MBII-98 in mouse. NCBI's taxonomy places the organism in Eukaryota, Metazoa, Chordata, Ascidiacea, Phlebobranchia, Cionidae. The record is from Ensembl.